GAAAGCAUUUGCCAAGGACGUUUUCAUUAAUCAAGAACGAAAGUUAGGGGAUCGAAGAUGAUCAGAUACCGUCGUAGUCUUAACCAUAAACUAUGCCGACUAGGGAUCGAUGCGUUGUUCUUUUUAUGACUCGCUCGGCACCUUACGAGAAAUCAAAGUUUUUGGGUUCUGGGGGGAGUAUGGUCGCAAGGCUGAAACUUAAAGGAAUUGACGGAAGGGCACCACCAGGAGUGGAGCCUGCGGCUUAAUUUGACUCAACACGGGAAAUCUCACCAGGUCCAGACACAAUAAGGAUUGACAGAUUGAGAGCUCUUUCUUGAUUUUGUGGGUGGUGGUGCAUGGCCGUUCUUAGUUGGUGGAGUGAUUUGUCUGCUUAAUUGCGAUAACGAACGAGACCUUAACCUACUAAAUAGUGCUGUUAGCUUCGGCUGAACUGGCACUUCUUAGAGGGACUAUCGAUUUCAAGUCGAUGGAAGUUUGAGGCAAUAACAGGUCUGUGAUGCCCUUAGACGUUCUGGGCCGCACGCGCGCUACACUGACGGAGCCAGCCGUACUAUCCUUGGCCGAAAGGUCCGGGUAAUCUCGUGAAACUCCGUCGUGCUGGGGAUAGAGCAUUGAAAUUAUUGCUCUUCAACGAGGAAUUCCCUAG
RNAcentral lists this ribosomal RNA (649 nucleotides) under Kuraishia capsulata. RNAcentral's name for it is "SSU rRNA". It matches the Rfam family "Eukaryotic small subunit ribosomal RNA", at positions 947 to 1617 of the family's 1831-position model. The record is from RNAcentral. Lineage: Eukaryota; Fungi; Ascomycota; Pichiomycetes; Pichiales; Pichiaceae.